Molecule: ribosomal RNA, 497 nt
Filed under: uncultured bacterium
Lineage: Bacteria
Description: partial 16S ribosomal RNA
Rfam family: Bacterial small subunit ribosomal RNA
Source: RNAcentral
GAUGAACGCUGGCGGCGUGCCUAAUACAUGCAAGUCGAGCGAACAGACGAGGAGCUUGCUCCUCUGACGUUAGCGGCGGACGGGUGAGUAACACGUGGAUAACCUACCUAUAAGACUGGGAUAACUUCGGGAAACCGGAGCUAGUACCGGAUAAUAUAUUGAACCGCAUGGUUCAAUAGUGAAAGACGGUUUUGCUGUCACUUAUAGAUGGAUCCGCGCCGCAUUAGCUAGUUGGUAAGGUAACGGCUUACCGAGGCAACGAUGCGUAGCCGACCUGAGAGGGUGAUCGGCCACACUGGAACUGAGACACGGUCCAGACUCCUACGGGAGGCAGCAGUAGGGAAUCUUCCGCAAUGGGCGAAAGCCUGACGGAGCAACGCCGCGUGAGUGAUGAAGGUCUUCGGAUCGUAAAACUCUGUUAUUAGGGAAGAACAAAUGUGUAAGUAACUAUGCACGUCUUGACGGUACCUAAUCAGAAAGCCACGGCUAACUACGUG